This is a long non-coding RNA of Lontra canadensis (Northern American river otter), 92 nucleotides long. RefSeq lists it as uncharacterized. Lineage: Eukaryota; Metazoa; Chordata; Mammalia; Carnivora; Mustelidae. The record is from RefSeq and is a predicted model, not a curated record. The transcript has 3 exons.
CAUGUAAACAGAAAAGCAAGUUUUCUUCCUCCUGCAGUUCUGAGCACUUCAUGUUUUCUGCCUGGCUGCCUCUAUGUUCCACCCCUGUGUGU